RNAcentral lists this ribosomal RNA (497 nucleotides) under uncultured bacterium. RNAcentral's name for it is "partial 16S ribosomal RNA". It matches the Rfam family "Bacterial small subunit ribosomal RNA", at positions 28 to 507 of the family's 1533-position model. The record is from RNAcentral.
GAUGAACGCUGGCGGCGUGCCUAAUACAUGCAAGUCGAGCGAACAGAUGAGGAGCUUGCUUCUUUGACGUUAGCGGCGGACGGGUGAGUAACACGUGGGUAACCUACCUAUAAGACUGGGAUAACUCCGGGAAACCGGAGCUAAUGCCGGAUAAUAUUUAGAACCGCAUGGUUCUAAAGUGAAAGAUGGUUUUGCUAUCACUUAUAGAUGGAUCCGCGCCGUAUUAGCUAGUUGGUAAGGUAACGGCUUACCAAGGCAACGAUGCGUAGUCGACCUGAGAGGGUGAUCGGCCACACUGGAACUGAGACACGGUCCAGACUCCUACGGGAGGCAGCAGUAGGGAAUCUUCCGCAAUGGGCGAAAGCCUGACGGAGCAACGCCGCGUGAGUGAUGAAGGUCUUCGGAUCGUAAAACUCUGUUAUUAGGGAAGAACAAAUGUGUAAGUAACUGUGCACGUCUUGACGGUACCUAAUCAGAAAGCCACGGCUAACUACGUG